Molecule: ribosomal RNA, 426 nt
Filed under: uncultured bacterium
Lineage: Bacteria
Description: bacterial SSU rRNA
Rfam family: Bacterial small subunit ribosomal RNA
Source: RNAcentral
GGGAGGCAGCAGUGAGGAAUAUUGGUCAAUGGACGAGAGUCUGAACCAGCCAAGUAGCGUGAAGGAUGACUGCCUAUGGGUUGUAAACUUCUUUUAUACGGGAAUAAGUGAGGCACGUGUGCCUUUUUGUAUGUACCGUAUGAAUAAGGAUCGGCUAACUCCGUGCCAGCAGCCGCGGUAAUACGGAGGAUCCGAGCGUUAUCCGGAUUUAUUGGGUUUAAAGGGAGCGUAGGCGGACGCUUAAGUCAGUUGUGAAAGUUUGCGGCUCAACCGUAAAAUUGCAGUUGAUACUGGGUGUCUUGAGUACAGUAGAGGCAGGCGGAAUUCGUGGUGUAGCGGUGAAAUGCUUAGAUAUCACGAAGAACUAUGAUUGCGAAGGCAGCUUGCUGGACUGUAACUGACGCUGAUGCUCGAAAGUGUGGGUAU